This 913-nucleotide long non-coding RNA is filed under the name Marmota monax (woodchuck). Lineage: Eukaryota; Metazoa; Chordata; Mammalia; Rodentia; Sciuridae. The record is from RNAcentral.
ACAGAGGCCAUCCAUGGUGACAUAACCCUGUAAUCCCAGACUCAGGAGGCUUAGGCAGGAGGAUGGCUAGUUCAAGGCCAGCCUUGGCAAAUUAGUGAGACCCUGUCAAAAUAAAAACUAAAUAAAAAGGACUGGGGAUGUAGCUUAGUGGUAGAGUGUUUCUGGGUUCAAUCCCUAGUAUCACAAAAAAUAAAAACAAAACAUUAAAAGAUAAAAAACAGAGGGAAAGGGAGGGAGAAGGGGAAUAGCAAAGAUGGUGGAAGGAGACGGUCAUCAUUAUACAAAAUACAUGUAUGAAGAUGUGAAAAAAAAUAAAAGAUAAAAAACAAUUUCAUGAACUUCAGGGGAAAACUUCAUUAUUGUUGUUGUUGUUAUUAUUUCAUCUUAUUUUUUUGGACCAAGAAUUGAAAAUGGGUGGUUAUCCACCGAGCCAUAUCCCCAGCCUCCUUAUUAUUAUUAUUAUUAUUAUCAUUAUCAUCAUCAUCAUUGUAAUUUGUUAUAUAUGACAGCAGAAUGCAUUGCAAUUCAUAUUAUACAUAUAGAGCACAAUUUUUCAUGUCUCUGGUUGUAUGCAAAGUAGAGCCACACCAUUCAUGUCUUUAUAUAUGUGCUUAGGGUAAUGAAGUCCAUCUCAUUCCACCAUCUUUUCUACCCUUAUUCCCCCCUCCCUUCCCCAACCUCCCCUUUGCUCUAUCUAGAGUUUGUCUAAUCCUCCCAUGCUCCCUGCCAAUCCCACUAUGAAUCAGCUUCCUUAUAUCAGAGAAAACAUUUAGCAUUUGUUUUUUUUGGAUUGGCUUACUUCACUUAGCAUUAUAUUCUCCAACUCCAUCCACUUACUUGCAAAUGCCAUGAUUGUAUUCUCUUUUAAUGCUGAAUAGUAUUCCAUUGUUUAUAUAUACCACAUUUUCUUUAU